This 445-nucleotide ribosomal RNA is filed under the name uncultured bacterium. RNAcentral's name for it is "bacterial SSU rRNA". It matches the Rfam family "Bacterial small subunit ribosomal RNA", at positions 354 to 796 of the family's 1533-position model. The record is from RNAcentral.
GUAAGGAAUAUUGGUCAAUGGACGGAAGUCUGAACCAGCCAUCCCGCGUGCAGGAUGAAGGUCCUAUGGAUUGUAAACUGCUUUUAGCAGAGACGAAACGCCGACAUUUAUGUUGGUCUGACGGUAUCUGCGGAAUAAGCACCGGCUAACUCCGUGCCAGCAGCCGCGGUAAUACGGAGGGUGCAAGCGUUAUCCGGAAUCACUGGGUUUAAAGGGUGCGUAGGCGGAUGAUUAAGUCAGUGGUGAAAGCUGGUCGCUUAACGAUCAAACUGCCAUUGAUACUGAUUGUCUUGAAUUGGGUUGAGGUUAGCGGAAUGUGACAUGUAGCGGUGAAAUGCAUAGAUAUGUCAUGGAACACCAAUUGCGAAGGCAGCUAACUGGGCCUUGAUUGACGCUGAGGCACGAAAGCGUGGGUAGCGAACAGGAUUAGAUACCCGGGUAGUCC